GAAAUGCGAUAAGUAAUGUGAAUUGCAGAAUUCAGUGAAUCAUCGAAUCUUUGAACGCACCUUGCGCUCCUUGGUAUUCCUUGGAGCAUGCCUGUUCGAGCGUCAUUACACCACUCAAGCCUGGCUUGGUAUUGAGCGCCGCGGCCUGCCCGCGCGCUCCAAUGUCUCCGGCUGAGCCGUCCGUCUCUAAGCGUUGUGAAUAGCGAUCGCUUGCGAGGCCCGGGCGGUUCGACGCCGUUAAACCCCCCAUUUUCUAUGGUUGACCUCGGAUCAGGUAGGGAUACCCGCUGAACUUAAGC
Molecule: unclassified non-coding RNA, 299 nt
Filed under: plant metagenome
Description: partial contains 5.8S ribosomal RNA, internal transcribed spacer 2, and large subunit ribosomal RNA
Rfam family: 5.8S ribosomal RNA (bases 1-105)
Source: RNAcentral